RNAcentral lists this long non-coding RNA (950 nucleotides) under Parus major (Great Tit). Its description in RNAcentral is "lncRNA (ENSPMJG00000019928.1)". The record is from RNAcentral. Lineage: Eukaryota; Metazoa; Chordata; Aves; Passeriformes; Paridae.
UAUUUUUUUUAUUCUGCUCACAGCUAAUUGCACUUGAUGUCUCCUCGCUCCUGCACUGGAAGAGACGCUGGAUAAUCAAUUCCUUUUUGCCUUUGCCAAGCCUGAUUUACCAGACCUUUAUCAAAUCCUCUUUCAGCCGUCUUUUCUCCAGCAGGACAAGUCCUUGUCUUCUCAGUCAAAGGCAGAGUUUCCAGAAGCACCACACUGUGAUGGGCAAUACAGAAAUGUCUGCUCUUGGAUCCAGCUGAUAAAAUGUCCCAGUCCAGGAGGUUCUGCACUGCUACAAUCCAAGGCAAGAUCCUCUAGCCUGAUGACAACGUAACAAGAAGCAUCAUCUGAACAAUGAAGAAGACAUGGAUUGGAAAAGAUCCUUGGGCAUGUGACAGAAAUAAAUGAUUCAGGGGGAUGGGGUCCUUGCUGAUGUUUGGGCUGAAUCUUACUGCAGAAUAAGGAAAGACUUCCAUGGAACAUUUCCUGCAGGAUUUGUUGGUACAUACAUCUUUGGCUGGAGCAGCAUCCCUGUGAAUUACAGCAGACAUCUUGCCUUGCCUUGGCAACUCCAAACCUUUAAUGCUUUACUGUGUACAGAUUCCUCUAUUUUAACAGCUGACACUAAUCUUGGGUCAAUAAAAGGGAUGGUUUUCCUCAAUGCUUUUCUCCUGAUCAUUGUUCUUUUGUUCAUAAACACACAACAUUUGCUGUUGCAGGAACCAUGGGGUGCAAUUGCUCAGAUUGCCAUUGAGAACUGAGGCUAUUUGGUCCCUGAGUUAAGAAAACAAUUAAGUAUGUACUUAAGCUUAAUUGACUGAGUGAAAAUAAGGUGUCUGUUGGAUUUCAUUGAAUAGUGAAGCUUAAACAUGCCGAUGUUCUCUUGGGUUACAGCUUUGGUUACCCUCUUGGUAUAGCACAGCAUUGAUGGAAAUAAAGGUUUCAUGCACACAUUUUUGCCA